Molecule: ribosomal RNA, 497 nt
Filed under: uncultured bacterium
Lineage: Bacteria
Description: partial 16S ribosomal RNA
Rfam family: Bacterial small subunit ribosomal RNA
Source: RNAcentral
GAUGAACGCUGGCGGCGUGCCUAAUACAUGCAAGUCGAGCGAACAGACGAGGAGCUUGCUCCUCUGACGUUAGCGGCGGACGGGUGAGUAACACGUGGAUAACCUACCUAUAAGACUGGGAUAACUUCGGGAAACCGGAGCUAAUACCGGAUAAUAUAUUGAACCGCAUGGUUCUAUAGUGAAAGACGGUUUUGCUGUCACUUAUAGAUGGAUCCGCGCCGCAUUAGCUAGUUGGUAAGGUAACGGCUUACCAAGGCGACGAUGCGUAGCCGACCUGAGAGGGUGAUCGGCCACACUGGAACUGAGACACGGUCCAGACUCCUACGGGAGGCAGCAGUAGGGAAUCUUACGCAAUGGGCGAAAGCCUGACGGAGCAACGCCGCGUGAGUGAUGAAGGUCUUCGGAUCGUAAAACUCUGUUAUUAGGGAAGAACAAAUGUGUAAGUAACUAUGCACGUCUUGACGGUACCUAAUCAGAAAGCCACGGCUAACUACGUG